Molecule: transfer RNA, 60 nt
Filed under: Loxodonta africana (African savanna elephant)
Lineage: Eukaryota; Metazoa; Chordata; Mammalia; Proboscidea; Elephantidae
Rfam family: tRNA
About the family: Transfer RNA (tRNA) molecules are approximately 80 nucleotides in length.
Source: Rfam by way of RNAcentral
GCAAUGGUAGAAUUCUUGCCUUCCAUGUGGGAGACCUGGGUUCGAUUCCCAGCCAAUGCA